CUUCAACGACCCCAGCAGCAGGGGUGGGGCAUCGGCCGACCUCUGCCCGUAAGUGGCAAGCAGCGCCUGCGCCUC
Molecule: non-coding RNA, 75 nt
Filed under: Streptomyces sp. PRh5
Lineage: Bacteria; Bacillati; Actinomycetota; Actinomycetes; Kitasatosporales; Streptomycetaceae
Source: RNAcentral